RNAcentral lists this ribosomal RNA (855 nucleotides) under Nocardioides sp. DJHH52. RNAcentral's name for it is "bacterial SSU rRNA". It matches the Rfam family "Bacterial small subunit ribosomal RNA", at positions 381 to 1249 of the family's 1533-position model. Lineage: Bacteria; Bacillati; Actinomycetota; Actinomycetes; Propionibacteriales; Nocardioidaceae. The record is from RNAcentral.
GCCUGAUCCAGCAACGCCGCGUGAGGGAUGACGGCCUUCGGGUUGUAAACCUCUUUCAGCGGGGACGAAGCGAAAGUGACGGUACCCGCAGAAGAAGGACCGGCCAACUACGUGCCAGCAGCCGCGGUAAUACGUAGGGUCCGAGCGUUGUCCGGAAUUAUUGGGCGUAAAGGGCUCGUAGGCGGUCUGUCGCGUCGGGAGUGAAAACUCAGGGCUCAACCCUGAGCGUGCUUCCGAUACGGGCAGACUAGAGGUAUGCAGGGGAGAACGGAAUUCCUGGUGUAGCGGUGGAAUGCGCAGAUAUCAGGAGGAACACCGGUGGCGAAGGCGGUUCUCUGGGCAUUACCUGACGCUGAGGAGCGAAAGCAUGGGGAGCGAACAGGAUUAGAUACCCUGGUAGUCCAUGCCGUAAACGUUGGGCGCUAGGUGUGGGGACCUUCCACGGUUUCCGUGCCGCAGCUAACGCAUUAAGCGCCCCGCCUGGGGAGUACGGCCGCAAGGCUAAAACUCAAAGGAAUUGACGGGGGCCCGCACAAGCGGCGGAGCAUGCUGAUUAAUUCGAUGCAACGCGAAGAACCUUACCUGGGUUUGACAUAUACCGGAAAGCUGCAGAGAUGUAGCCCCCCUUGUGGUCGGUAUACAGGUGGUGCAUGGCUGUCGUCAGCUCGUGUCGUGAGAUGUUGGGUUAAGUCCCGCAACGAGCGCAACCCUCGUCCUAUGUUGCCAGCACGUUAUGGUGGGGACUCAUAGGAGACUGCCGGGGUCAACUCGGAGGAAGGUGGGGAUGACGUCAAGUCUUCAUGCCCCUUAUGUCCAGGGCUUCAAGCAUGCUACAAUGGCCGGUACAAAGGGCUG